AUGAAUGGGCGAAGCCUGAUGCAGCAACGCCGCGUGAGGGAUGACGGCCUUCGGGUUGUAAACCUCUUUUAGCAGGGAAGAAGCGAAAGUGACGGUACCUGCAGAAAAAGCGCCGGCUAACUACGUGCCAGCAGCCGCGGUAAUACGUAGGGCGCAAGCGUUAUCCGGAAUUAUUGGGCGUAAAGAGCUCGUAGGCGGUUUGUCGCGUCUGCUGUGAAAACCCGAGGCUCAACCUCGGGCCUGCAGUGGGUACGGGCAGACUAGAGUGCGGUAGGGGAGAUUGGAAUUCCUGGUGUAGCGGUGGAAUGCGCAAAUAUCAGGAGGAACACCGAUGGCGAAGGCAGAUCUCUGGGCCGUAACUGACGCUGAGGAGCGAAAGGGUGGGGAGCAAACAGGCUUAGAUACCCUGGUAGUCCACCCCGUAAACGUUGGGAACUAGUUGUGGGGUCCAUUCCACGGAUUCCGUGACGCAGCUAACGCAUUAAGUUCCCCGCCUGGGGAGUACGGCCGCAAGGCUAAAACUCAAAUGAAAUUGACGGA
This 540-nucleotide ribosomal RNA is filed under the name Microbacterium aurantiacum. RNAcentral's name for it is "partial 16S ribosomal RNA". It matches the Rfam family "Bacterial small subunit ribosomal RNA", at positions 368 to 917 of the family's 1533-position model. Lineage: Bacteria; Bacillati; Actinomycetota; Actinomycetes; Micrococcales; Microbacteriaceae. The record is from RNAcentral.